Molecule: long non-coding RNA, 878 nt
Filed under: Daphnia pulicaria
Lineage: Eukaryota; Metazoa; Arthropoda; Branchiopoda; Diplostraca; Daphniidae
Description: uncharacterized LOC124316646, transcript variant X3
Source: RNAcentral
UACAAAGUGUUUGACAGGAAUUCGCCGUCGUAACCACCGCACUCGAUGAAAAAGCCGUUGAUCUUAAACGGCAAAAAUUAAAUCGAUUUGAUAGCUGUGGUAUUUGUCGUAAAUAUCGUCUGAAUUAAUUAUCCUUUGAAUGAUACUUUAUUCUGCAAUAUUCUUAAAAUGGCUUUAGAUUGGCCGUCGGAAGGAUCGAUCGUUUCGGGAUAGUCCAUUUGAUACGGGACUCUUUUGGGUGCUGGUGGGCGGAGAGGUGGACUUUCUAAUGAGACUAAAAACAUAGUGCAACGACAGCAACAAAGCAAGGAACACUACGAGACGCAGGACGGCGAUCAGAGUCGAGGAAUGUAAACGCACCAUCGCCUCCAAUGAAAUCGUGUUUUGAUUUCAAGCAACAGUAAUGACUAACUCACAGGAAGCCCCCAAGCUAAACAUAUGGACUUGUCAAAGUGAAAGUUGUAUGAAGAUGACAUUGCUGAAAAGUCAAGUGCGCCUCAUCCAGAGUAUUUGACUAGGCUAUGGCCUGUGAACUGCAGUUGUCGCCGGUUGCUGCGGAUACUCAGCCUGAAGGAACAUGACAAAUGUUUAAUAUUUAGCCAUCAGUUUCAGGCCGAGUCGAGGUUGGACGAAACGCUCAUACUUGAUUGCGCUGCAUUAUGGGCCCUAAUCUUUCAGACCGUUCAACUGUACGAGAGAAAAUAUACGAGAAGACGUUGGACUCUGCAACCCUAGCAGGUGUGACAUUCUUCUGUGUACCAACAGGUGUACCGUGGGGAAAGUAACACGAGCGAAAAUUGCUGGUGGCGCGUAAUGCAGAGAGGAAUUUUGUUGAACAUGCGCGCUGCGUAUAGUAGUUAAAAGGAGAAAAGUUAAAA